This 3790-nucleotide long non-coding RNA is filed under the name Malus domestica (apple). Its description in RNAcentral is "long non-coding RNA (MDOM_LNC005060)". Lineage: Eukaryota; Viridiplantae; Streptophyta; Magnoliopsida; Rosales; Rosaceae. The record is from RNAcentral.
UACCAAUAUAAAAUUUCCUUCCCGAUGCAAAAGGUUAACUACAAAUCUAGCACUUUAAAUUGUUUCUCAUUCAAUUCCAGAACAAACACAAUUGGUAGUCAUUUAGUAAUAGUGAAAAAUACAAACAUUCUUACUAGUUAGGGGGAGAGGAUAGACGAUAGAGGGAGAAAUAGCCGGUUUUGAAAUAACCAGCCUUUUCUUUCUAACACAAAGCUUGAUCUAUUUUUAGAUUUGAGCUCGGAUUGCUUCCCCGCUUAGAGCUCCCCCUUCCUUUUGUGCAUUGCUUCUCUACUUAGAGCUCGCUUUCUUCUUUGCUCCCCCAUCCUUUUGGGCAUUGCUUCCCUGCUUAGAGCUCGCUUUCUUCUUUCCCCACUUAGAGCUUGCUUUCUUCUUUCCCUUCUUAAAGCUGGCUUUUUUCUUCGGUGGACUGAAGUCCUGCACAUGAACAUGAUGGAUAAAUACUUGUAAUUCCAAAUAAAAAAGGUCGUACCCAGUGCACAAGGCUCCCGCUUUACGCAGGGUCUGGGAGAGGUGAAUGUCGGCUAGCCUUACCCCCAUUUAUGGAGAGGCUGCUCCCAAGUCUCGAACCCGAACUUGUAAUUCCAAAUAAGAAAAAAAAAAAAAAAAAAAAAAAUCAAAACAAUCUGCCGUUCAUGUAGUAAGAAUAGGAUCCCCUUCAUGUAUAAAAGAGUAUAAAUUGCAUUCAAAUCUAUAAUGUUAUUAGAUUUAAAAAAAAAAGUCUUUCAAAUGUAGGUAAACUUGGAGCCGUAGAUUAUUAUCAGCGAAACAAAAUUCACAGAAUGAACAUUUGUUGUCUAGGAUUGGCUUGGAUGGGAUAACUCACUACAUUCAAUGAACGUUGAAUGGAAAAAUGGAUGUCUACUUGCAUUUUUUGUCAAGGUAGAAGAUGGAUUAGUUGUGAAGAAAACUAAUGCCUCCUAAUCCCCACGAAAGUAGGAUUGGGAGAGAGAAAUUUUCUUCAUGGCUAAUCCAUCUAACCAUCCAAAGCUAGACAACAAACGAGGCCUAAAGGUACUCAUCAACGAAUUAAUGUUUGGAGAAAAUGAUACACUAAACCCCAUCUUACUGUUUGAAUACAUAUAUAUAUUUCUUAGUUAACUUGCAAUCAAAGUUGUUCUCUAAUACAUCAAAAUAUUCCUCCUAAAUAACCUACUUUAAAGAUCAUAGCACAAAAAGGAGUAGAUUUUAUAAUGUGUAAGUAUCAAAAGGCAAUCAUAAAAUCAAAUAACUAGAUAAAACCGUGAAGCAUCUGUUCAUCAUUUUCUCAUGUCGACAUACAAUAUAUUAGGAUUCUAGGCUCUGAAACCCACAAUUCAGGUAGAUGUAUGCACGAUAGUUAUUAGGAAAUAAAAAAACAUGAACUAAAAAUAAUUAAAGUAGCUCAAACUCCCCGGUGAGUAGAUGGAAGCUUCUCUAGCUAUAGCAAAAUGAACAUACCGCAUCAUCCCAUUAUAGGUUCCAAAUUCUAGUCCUGUUGCAAGACAGACGAAGCACUACAAGAGACAUAAAUUGAAAAGUAUCAGUCCUAAAGGUUUGUUUAGGUUUCAACUAGUUUUUCUUUAUCUUCAAGACUUGCUAGCUUUACUUAAUUCAAUUCUAUCAUAAUCAGUACUAUAUAUAGUAGCAUGUCUUCGAGCAUGCUAAAAGCCAAACGAUCUAAGAAAUAUAGUUACAAGUGAACCAAAUAUUCAGAUUAAAAACAAGGAAAAAAGAAAAAGUUAAAGCAAAUUUCAGGGAAGUUGAUCAAACAUUUUUAAUUACCAACUUCCCUGCUAGCAAUUCUGUAAAAAGGCUCAGAAAUAUAGUAGACCCAUGGCAGAUCUAGGAUUUUCCUCAAUUUAAGUUCAUGAUUAUAAAAAGGCAACAUGAAACCUACAAACAGGGAUCAUUAUUAAGUGUACACAAAUGGUAAAUUAUAAACCUAUUUAUACGUUAAAACGGUUAGGGAACAAGAAGUUUCCGUUCCCAACGAGCUAUUUUUCCAAAACCGUAAAAAAUCUUGUGUCGCUUAUUGGCAACACCUAUCCAAUAUCAAUUAAGCUCCUCAAAUUUGACGGUUAAAGUACUUCAACACGUGCAGCUAUUUGGAAAACGACAUUCCUUAGAUACAUCUUAAAAAUGUUAUGAAAAGAUUGAACUGAAUGGUCAACAACCAUGCACCAAACUUUACGACAUUCCUUAGAUUCAUCUAAAGAAAAGGACAUUCCUUAGAUUCAUCUAAGGAAAAGGAUAUUCCUUUUUUUUUUUUUAUCUAACACGAUGGCCUGAUUCCAUUUAUGACUAUUUGGCAGGAGCGGUGCUACCACUAGCCACAAGCCAGAGCAAGGGGCCGGCGACUGAGAGACUUGCAGAUCUAGGGUGUGGGUUUAGUACCGGGUCUGGGGAGAGAGAAAACGGCUUGAUUCAUAUGUUUUCGAUACAUAAAAUAUAAUAGGAAAAAGACAUUCCUUAGAUUCAUGUAAAACGCAUUACGACAAAGCUGAACUGAAUGUUCAACGAACAUGCAAUUCAACACGUGAAGCUAUUUGAAUUUUUUUUACUUUAGAUUCAUCAAAAACAUGUCACGAGGAAGCCGAACAGGAUGUUCAGCGACCUUGUAUCACGUACUGCUAAAUAUAUCUUUUCAACAUUAACCGAUCCCAAAAGAUCUUGUAUGAUCUGAGCACAUAUCUGAUCACUAGUAUCUGUGCAAGUCCACGAGUCCUAUCCUUUGAACACUACAAGAAUGAGCAACUCAAUCUCAGCUUAUAUAACCUAAUCCGAAUCAAUGGGCAAGGAGAUGCUUAUGCUGCAUGGUAUCAACUAUCUACACCAAGAAGUUUCCCGAACAAAGCAUGGUACUUAUGCUUUAUCGAAAUAAAGAUCAAAACAAUUCCAUGCAGUUAAAAUAAUCAAAAUUUUUAUCAUCCAAGCCAAUUAAACAAUUUAAAACACUGGAAAACCUUUCUCUAGUAAAGAACAAUGAAAACUUCAGAUCUGCACUUCGAACUAUCAAAACAGCUGUCAGGUAAUCAAGUGAAAGUCUUUAUUAUUUCGUAGGAUAUUUUUCCAUGCCUUACCCAAUCAACAUAAAAAAACACUCACAAUAACAUCACUAAAUUAAAAAAACAUAACCAUAAAAAAAAAAAUCAAAUUCCAACCCAAAUCUUCAAAUUUAAAAAGAUGAUAAAAAGAGUAGAGAAUUUGGAGGACCUCGACCUCGGUCCCGUCGUUCUCAACCUUCUUCCGCAUCACCCAGCCCUCAGAAUCGCAUAACUUCUGGGCGGUGCCAUUGGUCAGGAUAAGACCAACUCAACAAACUUCACACUCUGUGCAGCUCGACAACAACAAAAAGAGGGGCGUUUUAUCCUUUAGGAUUUGAUACGAACAAGGUGGCAAACAUGGUAAGCGAGGCCAGAAAGGGAGAGAGCUCGGUUGGCAAACAGGUGGCGCCAUGUUUUGGCGAGGAUGUGAGAGAAGGUAACGUAACAAAGAUGAUGAGGAAGAAUCUUAUCUGGGUUUUAGCUGGUUCUUGAAAGAGAGAGAGGGAGCUGCGUGUUUUCUGUGAGGGGUGGAGAGAGAGACACAGAGCGAGCCAAAGUUAGGUUUUAUGGGAAAAGCAGCCGUUACUGGUUUAAUUUUGACUGUGUGGAAACUAUUGUGUUAAACGGGCCAGGCCUAGAUGGUUGGGCCAUUAGAAGAGUCUAGACUAACAAAUAUCCUUCAAAUAAAUCUGAGAAAUUGUUUGAAAUUAUGAACAUGCAAAUCUAAAUUGUAGAAAUGAUCGCUU